CGCGCAGGGGGCGCCAUUUUGUGAGCGGGGUGCGCAGGGCGGAGCUCAGUCGGUGCUCACGGGCUGCCUUUCACGGGCCUUGGCAGCUCCCUGCUGACUGGAAGGACCAGGAUUUUCAGUAAAAGGUGCCCAGGAGUAAUAAUGUAAAGAAUGAGAGCAGCACAUGAGCAGGAGCCAAGAUUCCCUCUUACAACCUGACUAGGAGUCCUUCCACUAACAGUCACCACGACGGAGCAUUUAUUCACUCCCUGAAGCUUGCCUUGGUGGAAAAAAGCGUUGAGAAUUAAGUCCUGAAUUAUCGUAAUUCUAAAUUUCUCCCUGGCUCCAAAACAAAACACGAGCAGCAGUAGAUCGACACUGCUGGUGAAACGGCAAGACGAGCACUGCAGUAUAGUCUUCUCCUUUUUGCUGAUUCCUCAGAUGAACACAUCAUCCUCCUCAAAAUGCAAGAAUCAUCUACAAGCUCAAGCUGGUGGCUGCUGCAGCACAGGACCUGCUUGUGCUGGGGUGAAGGGUUGGGAAAACAAAGGUGGGGGAUGUGGAAGGAAGAAGGAUGAUGCUGGGAUGCUCUCAAAGAUGAUAUGUAUCUAUCACUCAGUUACUCUCUAACAUGCACGUUGGCUCUAGUCAAGGGCUGCAAACAGGCUGUAAUAAUCUCUUCUAGCCCUCCUCUAUAGUACAGUGGUUUCAUAUUUUAAACUAGUCACAUAAUACCCAAAAUACUUGAUGUUGCUGUGGCUAGACUGCCUUUGGUCCACACUAGCUAGGACAACUCUACGUAGUAUACUAUAGGGCAUAAUUUUUCUCUGGGUUGCACCAGAUAGAAGCAUUUGCAUCACCUGAAGGCAGCAUGUUUUCCUGUGGGUCUUUUUUAACCUAAAAGAUUCUAUAAAUACAUUCACAACCAUUUCUCUGCAAAGGCUCGAAGAGCAUGUUUUUAAAAAAAUAAAAUUCCAAAAUUUAUAGCUUCAGAAAAUACUUAAAAUACUUGUAAGGAAAGGUUGUAGCAAACCAGGCCAUCACUGCAAAAUCAUCUCAGAAAAAGCAGGUAAACCUUUUCUUUCAUACAUUUCCAUUUGGCCAAGAACACAAUCAAACUGGCAUCGUGAUGGAGCAGGGAGUGGUGGGGUGGGUCUUGGGUCCAGAUCUGUGGUGCCAGUGCUGUCAGGCAGAUGUAGUCAGUGUGAGAUGAAACAGCUCCCAGCUCAGCUGAUUAGCUUAGAGACCAGAGAUCCUUCAGAGAAUGGGCUGCUGCUCAGAACUCCUCUUGUUCCCUGUGAAGCAUACAACAAGGCUGACCCCUUAAGCAAACCAGAGCCUGUGUGCAGAGCUUACCUGUGGCUUUGCUCUCACCAGCAAUGUUACAUAGCAGUCCUUUGUGCAAAAGGAAGAUUUCCAUUUGAUGUCUGUCAAGGUAGCAGGGCUUACCUUUGCAUACCAGAAACACAGAAAUUGCUCUGUAUUAUACACCUUUCAGAAUAUGAAAGUCUCCUAUCUUGAAUUUAGUGGUGCUUCUAGCCUAUGUUAGACAACAUCUGAAAGGGACAGGAAAGACAGGAUCCUGCAGUGCACCAUCCUGACCACUCUGAAGAACAAAAUGGGCUCAUGCUGGUCAUCUGUCUCCGCCAAGAACCAGAUGUGGGACCACAGCAACACCAGCAAUAACACAGUACUCCUCCAGGGUAUUGGGGAAGUUGAGUUGAUUUGCUUCACUAUAAAAUGUGCAAUUGCAAAAAAUUAACUUUGGUCCCUCCAAUGUGCCCAAUGUACCUGCAGUAGGAUGGAGCACAGGUGGCUUACUUACUUUGUCUUGUACUUCUGCUAUCUAUUCCUUGCUGAGAGUAGGUUUGACUGCUGACAGUCCUCAGGACCACCCUGUGGACAGGCCACAGAUUUAGGACCUCAUGUUACAGCAGCCAAACAUGUGGUGUAUUAUUUAUAAAAUGAAGUCCAUUACUAGAAGUAAAAGUGAUCGAUAAGAGCAAAUAAAGCAGGAACCCAUACUUUCUAUAUACUGAGGGUUUUUUUAAAGCUAGAUGUUUCCUUUGUCCGCUCCAGUAGCUCCUUAGUAAUAUUUUCAUAUGGUACUGAAAAAAAAAUCCUUCCCUUACCAUUUUCUUUCCCCCCCACCAUGCAGUAACAAAAUCAGCAGGUAAAGCUGACACUUUUCAAGACAGCGUGCCUUUCACUUGGCCCAGUCUGUGAAGGACACUUUGCUGCACAGAUGUGUAACUUAGAACCAGCCCUGAGCAAUCUCAAAGCCACAGAAGAAUAAAAAAGUAAAAUAAAAAAGCAGCAUCUACUGAAAGCAAGCAUUGAGAGUGGCAGCUCAGACAACUCAUACGUCUUCUGCCAUAAUGUACAAAGAAAUUCCUUUUGUUAACAUUAAUAUUUGGCAGCUGUUACCGAGUGCACAAGGACAUUUUAGUUGGGUUUUAAAGAAAGAAAUUGACAAAGAAAGAAGGCAAUGAUUUUUUUUUUUUUUUAAUAGAGGAUCUCUCUGGGGGUUUGUGUUCAUAUCACCAAUAUUCACUUUAUUACAUUUUAUGGAAUGGAGUUUAAAUGCCAGUAUAUACAAGCCAACAUUUCAUUAUUAGAGUUUGUGUUUAUUCACUUGCCACUGUUAAGUCUGUUCCCCUUUGUCUUUUUGUGCUGCUCUUUGUAAAAUGUAUGAUUUAUGAAUAUGUGGCUUAGAUCCUUGACAAUAUAGCGUGGUGAGGUGGUUCAAUAAAAAGUUAUUAAAGUUAAAAAAA
Meleagris gallopavo (turkey) is the source of this 2753-nucleotide non-coding RNA. NCBI's taxonomy places the organism in Eukaryota, Metazoa, Chordata, Aves, Galliformes, Phasianidae. The record is from RefSeq and is a predicted model, not a curated record.